RNAcentral lists this non-coding RNA (28 nucleotides) under Mus musculus (house mouse). The record is from RNAcentral. Lineage: Eukaryota; Metazoa; Chordata; Mammalia; Rodentia; Muridae.
UGGCCUAAGGAACAAAGUUUCAGGUGGC